RNAcentral lists this transfer RNA (85 nucleotides) under Actinomycetota bacterium. Its description in RNAcentral is "Actinobacteria bacterium tRNA-Leu". It matches the Rfam family "tRNA". From Rfam's summary of the family: Transfer RNA (tRNA) molecules are approximately 80 nucleotides in length. Their secondary structure includes four short double-helical elements and three loops (D, anti-codon, and T loops). The record is from RNAcentral. Lineage: Bacteria; Bacillati; Actinomycetota.
GCCCGGGUGAUGAAAUCAGGCAGACAUGGACCCCUUAAAAGGGUCUGGCCGCAAGGUCGUGUGGGUUCGAAUCCCACCCCGGGCA